This 142-nucleotide ribosomal RNA is filed under the name uncultured bacterium. Its description in RNAcentral is "partial 16S rRNA". It matches the Rfam family "Bacterial small subunit ribosomal RNA", at positions 355 to 511 of the family's 1533-position model. The record is from RNAcentral.
UGGGGAAGUUUUCCGCAAUGGGCGAAAGCCUGACGGAGCAAUGCCGCGUGGAGGUGGAAGGCCUACGGGUCGUCAACUUCUUUUCUCGGAGAAGAAACAAUGACGGUAUCUGAGGAAUAAGCAUCGGUUAACUCUGUGCCAG